RNAcentral lists this ribosomal RNA (484 nucleotides) under uncultured bacterium. Its description in RNAcentral is "partial 16S ribosomal RNA". It matches the Rfam family "Bacterial small subunit ribosomal RNA", at positions 30 to 507 of the family's 1533-position model. The record is from RNAcentral.
AUUGAACGCUGGCGGCAGGCCUAACACAUGCAAGUCGAGCGGAUGAAGGGAGCUUGCUCCUGGAUUCAGCGGCGGACGGGUGAGUAAUGCCUAGGAAUCUGCCUGGUAGUGGGGGAUAACGUCCGGAAACGGGCGCUAAUACCGCAUACGUCCUGAGGGAGAAAGUGGGGGAUCUUCGGACCUCACGCUAUCAGAUGAGCCUAGGUCGGAUUAGCUAGUUGGUGGGGUAAAGGCCUACCAAGGCGACGAUCCGUAACUGGUCUGAGAGGAUGAUCAGUCACACUGGAACUGGGACACGGUCCAGACUCCUACGGGAGGCAGCAGUGGGGAAUAUUGGACAAUGGGCGAAAGCCUGCUCCAGCCAUGCCGCGUGUGUGAAGAAGGUCUUCGGAUUUUAAAGCACUUUAAGUUGGGAGGAAGGGCAGUAAGUUAAUACCUUGCUGUUUUGACGUUACCAACAGAAUAAGCACCGGCUAACUUCGUG